This 425-nucleotide ribosomal RNA is filed under the name uncultured bacterium. RNAcentral's name for it is "partial 16S ribosomal RNA". It matches the Rfam family "Bacterial small subunit ribosomal RNA", at positions 354 to 796 of the family's 1533-position model. The record is from RNAcentral.
GUGGGGAAUAUUGGACAAUGGGCGCAAGCCUGAUCCAGCCAUGCCGCGUGAGUGAUGAAGGCCCUAGGGUUGUAAAGCUCUUUCACCGGAGAAGAUAAUGACGGUAUCCGGAGAAGAAGCCCCGGCUAACUUCGUGCCAGCAGCCGCGGUAAUACGAAGGGGGCUAGCGUUGUUCGGAAUUACUGGGCGUAAAGCGCACGUAGGCGGACAUUUAAGUCAGGGGUGAAAUCCCGGGGCUCAACCCCGGAACUGCCUUUGAUACUGGGUGUCUGGAGUAUGGAAGAGGUAAGUGGAAUUCCGGGUGUAGAGGUGAAAUUCGUAGAUAUUCGGAGGAACACCAGUGGCGAAGGCGGCUUACUGGUCCAUUACUGACGCUGAGGUGCGAAAGCGUGGGGAGCAAACAGGAUUAGAAACCCUGGUAGUCC